UAGUAUCCUUUGACUUUAUCAGCUAGUAUUUAUUUUACAGCGGAGCAUUGAAAUUGUUUAUUUAAGAAAAUUUUUCGUAUAGAAUACAUUUAAAUUCAAGUUCAGUUAAAAUUUAAAGCAAAUAAUUUUAUAAUAUAAUAAUAAAUAAAUAAAGUCAAUGGAUUCUAAAACAAUAGAAACAUUAGCAUUUGUUUCUUCAAAGAGUCUGUGCAAAUUGAAAAACAAAAACACAGAUAAAUCUAAAAGAAAAGGCAAAUGCCAUCGCCCAGGGCCAUUAAUGCGAAAUCCCUAUUUAAAUUUUCUGCGUGAGUUUCGAAAGCAAAAUUGCGGCUUAACAGCUGUUGAAAUUAUCAAAAGAGGUGCUCAGGCUUGGAGAGCAGUACCAAAGGAAAAGAGGUUGAGAUAUAUUGAAGAGGCAUUUUAUGCGCCUAAGCGUAAGGGUUGCAGCGGUGCACAGCAGUCACCAAAUCUGAGCUCAUGUGCUCACAAAACGAAAAAAAGAAGAUCGAUUCCAUCUUGUUCUUCAAAAAGUAGUGUUCAUAAAAAGAAAUCAAUAACUUCUUCCAAACCAAAAAACGCAAAAAAUGCGUGUACAAGUAAAACUUUUAAAAGGAAAAGUAAGAAGCGUCCUAAAAAAGCCAAGAAAGCAAAAUGUGGACAGCGUAAAAAACUUAGGAAGCGCAAACUAAAAUUUCCUAAAUCUAACUGUAAACGAGCAAAGCAACAAAGGCGUAUUAAGAAAAAACCAAACAAAUGUAGCUUUGCUUGAUUAAUAACAAAAGUGAUUUAAAAAAUAUGUAAACAAAAUUUAAAUUGUUCGUUCAGUACCCUUGUAUGUCACAGAAAAACUAGAAAAAUAAAAAUAUCUGCCAGAAUUGCUAAUAAA
Bactrocera oleae (olive fruit fly) is the source of this 886-nucleotide non-coding RNA. The record is from RefSeq and is a predicted model, not a curated record. Lineage: Eukaryota; Metazoa; Arthropoda; Insecta; Diptera; Tephritidae.